UAGGGAAUCUUCGGCAAUGGACGGAAGUCUGACCGAGCAACGCCGCGUGAGUGAAGAAGGUUUUCGGAUCGUAAAGCUCUGUUGUAAGAGAAGAACGAGUGUGAGAGUGGAAAGUUCACACUGUGACGGUAUCUUACCAGAAAGGGACGGCUAACUACGUGCCAGCAGCCGCGGUAAUACGUAGGUCCCGAGCGUUGUCCGGAUUUAUUGGGCGUAAAGCGAGCGCAGGCGGUUAGAUAAGUCUGAAGUUAAAGGCCGUGGCUUAACCAUAGUACGCUUUGGAAACUGUUUAACUUGAGUGCAAGAGGGGAGAGUGGAAUUCCAUGUGUAGCGGUGAAAUGCGUAGAUAUAUGGAGGAACACCGGUGGCGAAAGCGGCUCUCUGGCUUGUAACUGACGCUGAGGCUCGAAAGCGUGGGGAGCAAACAGGAUUAGAUACCCUGGUAGUCCACGCCGUAAACGAUGAGUGCUAGGUGUUAGACCCUUUCCGGGGUUUAGUGCCGUAGCUAACGCAUUAAGCACUCCGCCUGGGGAGUACGACCGCAAGGUUG
RNAcentral lists this ribosomal RNA (550 nucleotides) under uncultured bacterium. Its description in RNAcentral is "bacterial SSU rRNA". It matches the Rfam family "Bacterial small subunit ribosomal RNA", at positions 355 to 896 of the family's 1533-position model. The record is from RNAcentral.